UACGGGGGGUGCAAGCGUUGUUCGGAAUUAUUGGGCGUAAAGAGCGUGUAGGCGGUUUGUUAAGUCUGAUGUGAAAGCCCUGGGCUCAACCCAGGAAGUGCAUUGGAAACUGGCAGACUUGAAUACGGGAGAGGGCAGUGGAAUUCCUAGUGUAGGAGUGAAAUCCGUAGAUAUUAGGAGGAACACCGGUGGCGAAGGCGGCUGCCUGGACCGAUAUUGACGCUGAGACGCGAAAGCGUGGGUAGCAAAC
Molecule: ribosomal RNA, 250 nt
Filed under: uncultured bacterium
Lineage: Bacteria
Description: partial 16S ribosomal RNA
Rfam family: Bacterial small subunit ribosomal RNA
Source: RNAcentral